Molecule: ribosomal RNA, 490 nt
Filed under: uncultured bacterium
Lineage: Bacteria
Description: partial 16S ribosomal RNA
Rfam family: Bacterial small subunit ribosomal RNA
Source: RNAcentral
AUUGAACGCUGGCGGCAUGCCUUACACAUGCAAGUCGAACGGCAGCAUGAUCUAGCUUGCUAGAUUGAUGGCGAGUGGCGAACGGGUGAGUAAUACAUCGGAACGUGCCCUGUAGUGGGGGAUAACUAGUCGAAAGAUUAGCUAAUACCGCAUACGACCUGAGGGUGAAAGUGGGGGACCGCAAGGCCUCAUGCUAUAGGAGCGGCCGAUGUCUGAUUAGCUAGUUGGUGGGGUAAAGGCCCACCAAGGCGACGAUCAGUAGCUGGUCUGAGAGGACGAUCAGCCACACUGGGACUGAGACACGGCCCAGACUCCUACGGGAAGCAGCAGUGGGGAAUUUUGGACAAUGGGGGCAACCCUGAUCCAGCAAUGCCGCGUGUGUGAAGAAGGCCUUCGGGUUGUAAAGCACUUUUGUCCGGAAAGAAAUCGCACUUACUAAUAUUAGGUGUGGAUGACGGUACCGGAAGAAUAAGGACCGGCUAACUACGUG